Molecule: ribosomal RNA, 253 nt
Filed under: uncultured bacterium
Lineage: Bacteria
Description: partial 16S ribosomal RNA
Rfam family: Bacterial small subunit ribosomal RNA
Source: RNAcentral
UACGAAGGGUGCAAGCGUUACUCGGAAUUACUGGGCGUAAAGCGUGCGUAGGUGGUGAGUUAAGUCUGUCGUGAAAGCCCCGGGCUCAACCUGGGAAUGGCGAUGGAUACUGGCUCGCUAGAGUACGGUAGAGGGCGGUGGAAUUCCCUGUGUAGCGGUGAAAUGCGUAGAUAUAGGGAGGAACAUCAGUGGCGAAGGCGGCCGCCUGGAUCGAUACUGACGCUGAGGUGCGAAAGCGUGGGGAGCAAACAGG